CGCGUAGGUGGUUGCGUAAGUCGGAUGUGAAAUCCUGAGGCUUAACCUCAGAACUGCAUCUGAUACUGCGUGACUCGAGUGCAGCAGAGGGAAACGGAAUUCCUGGUGUAGAGGUGAAAUUCGUAGAUAUCAGGAGGAACACCGGUGGCGAAGGCGGUUUCCUGGGCUGACACUGACACUGAGGCGCGAAAGCGUGGGUAGCAAACAGGAUUAGAUACCCUGGUAGUCCACGCUGUAAACGGUGAGUACUGGGUGUGGGAGGUGUAAUGCCUUCUGUGCCGAAGCUAACGCGUUAAGUACUCCGCCGUGGGGAGUACGGCCGCAAGGUUGAA
Molecule: ribosomal RNA, 332 nt
Filed under: uncultured bacterium
Lineage: Bacteria
Description: bacterial SSU rRNA
Rfam family: Bacterial small subunit ribosomal RNA
Source: RNAcentral